This is a long non-coding RNA of Alligator mississippiensis (American alligator), 615 nucleotides long. RefSeq lists it as uncharacterized. The record is from RefSeq and is a predicted model, not a curated record. The transcript is spliced from 2 exons. NCBI's taxonomy places the organism in Eukaryota, Metazoa, Chordata, Crocodylia, Alligatoridae.
GUGUGCGUGCGCCUCUGCGUGCGCGUGUCUGCAUGUGUGUGUGCGCGUGUGUGCGCGCCGCUCUGCCUCGCCGCCGAUCCUGCCGCCGCCGCCGCCCCUCCCGCCCGAGCAGUCGCGCUGCCCGCCCACGCCCCGGCCCGGCCCUGCAGCGCCCGCCCGCGCCCGCGCCCGGCCCCGGCUGCUCCGGCCCCGGCUGCCGCGCGGCGACAGCAGCUGACUCCGCCGCCGCCGCUGCCAUCGGCCUGGCCCCCGCCCCGCGCCCUUCGCUCCGCUCGCGAAAUACACCGCGGAGAGGGGAGACGAGCCGCGCGCGUGUGUGUGGGCGCGUGUGUGCGCGCGGGGCUGGAUCCCGGCACGGUGGAGCUGACAUGUUUAUUCUAGCACAAUGAUUAGCAUCCCAUGGAAAAUGAGCAAAGCCAUUUGUGUGCAGCUUGCUGUGGUUUUGAGGACCUAAAGGAAAACUAAGAUCUAAUCUUCCUCCCACUAAAGUCAAUGAUAGCUUUGUAAAGGACUUCAUUAGUUUAGGAUCAGUCCCCCAACCUAUAAAGUAGCUCUCCUUGAAGGAAUAAUAAAUUAAACCUUUAAAAAAAAUAAACAACAGCAACAGUACUACUA